This is a long non-coding RNA of Orcinus orca (killer whale), 385 nucleotides long. RefSeq lists it as uncharacterized. The transcript has 3 exons. Lineage: Eukaryota; Metazoa; Chordata; Mammalia; Artiodactyla; Delphinidae. The record is from RefSeq and is a predicted model, not a curated record.
CUCUAUCAUAGAGACGCGGGAGAAGAGCAACCGGAUAGCGCGAGGGAUGCUGGGAUACUGGAGGUCCGCCCAGCGCGUCCUGCGGGUUUUAGCAGCCCUUCAGAGUUAGCAAGGUGGAUUAUUUUGUGCGUUUACCGUCUUACGCGGACCCUCUGACUUGACAAACUGAGAACAGGGAAGGAACAGCUAAUUGGCCAGCCAUGAAGAACUGAGGAGGCCGACCUACACCUCAAGUCUCUAUGAUGUCUUUUCAAGUUGACUUUGAAGGGGAGCAGAAAACAAGCUGAAAAGUAAAAGCAAGUAUUAUGUUAAUCAUCAGAAGAGAAUAUUUAUCUUGAAAAGUAUCUGAAUCUGAAUAAGGAAUAUGAUUGUCCAUCAAGGCUAC